AAAGUCAACCGGAUUUUAUUAAAGCAAUUUCGAAAGGAUCGUAUAAGGACAGUCUUAUACACAUUGUCAUUAUUUGGCGGCGAGAUAAAAAUCGCAUAAAGUACGACUGGGUUAACGUCGGCAAACAGAAUGGCAACAGUUCACCUGAACACUUCAUAAAUUCAACUAAGAACGAAAUUUCCAAUGCAAUUAAGAAGUUAUUAAAAAAUUCAGAAGCUUUAUGUUACGAAGCAUUUGUAGAGAACUUAAUUAACGAACAUUCACAAGGAAUUUUAACUAAAUGGAUUUCUCAGUUCUUAUAUGUUGUCGAUUACCUAUCAGAUAAUAUUGAAGAGGAGCACCUUUUUGCAUUUAUUUCACUUUUAGGAACUUUUGGAUUUAUGUUUGCUGUUGGAUAUGUAUUAAUUUACUUUGUUAAAGUUGAGGAGGAAAAUCUUAAGGCGCAAGGCCAACUUUUCGAUAUACAAGGUCAGCGCCACAACAAUUUGGUUCCGGAACUUAAAUUAUAUGAGCUGAGAGCUGAAAAAUAUAAUGGGAUGGUGCGCCUACUAAAGCCCGGAUGCCGAACCUUACUUCUUAUCAGCGAUUGUCAAAGUCGGCAUAAGCUUAUUCCGUACUUUCACAAGGCUGUUUGGCCGUACAGGAAAUCCAAAACAUUACUAUUUGGGCAUAUGGUUAUUGAAAAAGGUUUGCCUUGGUUUGCUGAAAUUCUUCGUUUAUCAUUAAGUAAAAAUCGACAUUUACAAGUCAAUCCCCGAAAUUGCGUUGGUACUGUUCUGGCAUUAAAUGGUCACCGAAAAUAUUUUUGUAUGUACCAUGCUAAACAUCCAGAGUCCGUUCAGGAA
Molecule: small RNA, 845 nt
Filed under: Drosophila yakuba
Lineage: Eukaryota; Metazoa; Arthropoda; Insecta; Diptera; Drosophilidae
Description: GE28530
Source: RNAcentral